UACGAAGGGGGCUAGCGUUGUUCGGAAUUACUGGGCGUAAAGCGCGCGCAGGCGGCCAUUCAAGUCAGGGGUGAAAGCCUGUGGCUCAACCACAGAAUGGCCUUCGAUACUGGGACGCUUGAGUAUGGUAGAGGUUGGUGGAACUGCGAGUGUAGAGGUGAAAUUCGUAGAUAUUCGGAAGAACACCAGUGGCGAAGGCGACUCGCUGGACAAGUAUUGACGCUGAGGUGCGAAAGCGUGGGGAGCAAACAGGG
This 254-nucleotide ribosomal RNA is filed under the name uncultured bacterium. Its description in RNAcentral is "partial 16S ribosomal RNA". It matches the Rfam family "Bacterial small subunit ribosomal RNA", at positions 524 to 777 of the family's 1533-position model. The record is from RNAcentral.